GCUUACGGCCAUACCACCUGAACACGCCCGAUCUCGUCCGAUCUCGAAGCUAAGCAGGGUCGGGCCUGGUUAGUACUUGGAUGGGAGACCGCUGGGAAUACAGGUGCUGUAAGCU
This 115-nucleotide ribosomal RNA is filed under the name Labrus bergylta (ballan wrasse). The record is from RNAcentral. Lineage: Eukaryota; Metazoa; Chordata; Actinopteri; Labriformes; Labridae.